GAUGAACGCUGGCGGCGUGCCUAAUACAUGCAAGUCGAGCGAACAGACGAGGAGCUUGUUCCUCUGACGUUAGCGGCGGACGGGUGAGUAACACGUGGAUAACCUACCUAUAAGACUGGGAUAACUUCGGGACACCGGAGCUAAUACCGGAUAAUAUAUUGAACCGCAUGGUUCAAUAGUGAAAGACGGUUUUGCUGUCACUUAUAGAUGGAUCCGCGCCGCAUUAGCUAGUUGGUAAGGCAAUGGCUUACCAAGGCAACGAUGGGUAGCCGACCUGAGAGGCGGAUCGCCCACACGGGAACUGAGACACGGUCCAGACUCCUACGAGAGGCAGCAGUAGGGAAUCUUCCGCAAUGGGCGAAAGCCUGGCGGAGCAACGCCGCGUCAGUGAUGAAGGUCUUCGGAUCGUAAAACUCUGUUAUUAGUGAAGAACAAAUGUGUAAGUAACUAUGCACGUCUUGACGGUACCUAAUCAGAAAGCAACGGCUAACUACGUG
Molecule: ribosomal RNA, 497 nt
Filed under: uncultured bacterium
Lineage: Bacteria
Description: partial 16S ribosomal RNA
Rfam family: Bacterial small subunit ribosomal RNA
Source: RNAcentral